Molecule: non-coding RNA, 30 nt
Filed under: Homo sapiens (human)
Lineage: Eukaryota; Metazoa; Chordata; Mammalia; Primates; Hominidae
Source: RNAcentral
UCCUCAAACAGGGACCCCGAGGAUGAUGGC